RNAcentral lists this ribosomal RNA (537 nucleotides) under uncultured archaeon. Its description in RNAcentral is "bacterial SSU rRNA". It matches the Rfam family "Archaeal small subunit ribosomal RNA", at positions 341 to 879 of the family's 1478-position model. The record is from RNAcentral.
GCGAAAACUCUACCUGUAAGCAACUGCGAUAGGGGGACAUCGAGUGGCAUCCACCUUGGGUGCCUGUCCCACCGUCUAAAAAACGGUGGUUAGCAAGGGCCGGGCAAGACCGGUGCCAGCCGCCGCGGUAAUACCGGCGGCUCGAGUGGUGGCCGAUAUUAUUGAGUCUAAAGGGUCCGUAGCCGGCUUUGCAAGUCCCCUGGGAAAUCCAGCGGCUUAACCGUUGGGCUUUCAUGGGAUACUACAUUGCUUGGGACUGGGAGAGGUAGGAGGUACUCGGGGGGUAGGGGUGAAAUCCUGUAAUCCCCCGGGGACCACCGGUGGCGAAGGCGUCCUACCAGAACAGGUCCGACGGUGAGGGACGAAAGCUAGGGGCACGAACCGGAUUAGAUACCCGGGUAGUCCUAGCCGUAAACGAUGCCCGCUAGGUGUCACGGCGGUCGUGAAUCGCCGUGGUGCCGUAGGGAAGCCGCGAAGCGGGCCACUUGGGAAGUACGGCCGCAAGGCUGGAACUUAAAGGAAUUGGCGGGGGAGCAC